GUCGAACGGUGAAGCUCCAGCUUGCUGGAGUGGAUCAGUGGCGAACGGGUGAGUAACACGUGAGCAACCUGCCCCAAACUCUGGAAUAAGCGCUGGAAACGGCGUCUAAUACUGGAUACGAGACCAACCUGCAUGGGUAUGGUUUGGAAAGUUUUUCGGUUUGGGAUGGGCUCGCGGCCUAUCAGCUUGUUGGUGAGGUAAUGGCUCACCAAGGCGACGACGGGUAGCCGGCCUGAGAGGGCGACCGGCCACACUGGGACUGAGACACGGCCCAGACUCCUACGGGAGGCAGCAGUGGGGAAUAUUGCACAAUGGGCGAAAGCCUGAUGCAGCGACGCCGCGUGAGGGAUGACGGCCUUCGGGUUGUAAACCUCUUUCAGCAGGGAAGAAGCGAAAGUGACGGUACCUGCAGAAGAAGCACCGGCUAACUACGUGCCAGCAGCCGCGGUAAUACGUAGGGUGCGAGCGUUGUCCGGAAUUAUUGGGCGUAAAGAGCUUGUAGGCGGUUUGUCGCGUCUGCUGUGAAAAUCCGGGGCUCAACCCCGGACUUGCAGUGGGUACGGGCAGACUAGAGUGUGGUAGGGGAGACUGGAAUUCCUGGUGUAGCGGUGAAAUGCGCAGAUAUCAUGAGGAAC
Molecule: ribosomal RNA, 635 nt
Filed under: Janibacter limosus
Lineage: Bacteria; Bacillati; Actinomycetota; Actinomycetes; Micrococcales; Intrasporangiaceae
Description: bacterial SSU rRNA
Rfam family: Bacterial small subunit ribosomal RNA
Source: RNAcentral